Molecule: non-coding RNA, 75 nt
Organism: Myotis davidii
Lineage: Eukaryota; Metazoa; Chordata; Mammalia; Chiroptera; Vespertilionidae
Source: Rfam
AGCAGUUCUCAGGUGACGCACCCCAGAAUCAGGCUCCCUCCUCUAUGGUUCUGGGUGUGCCACACGGAAACUACA